ACCCGAGUGGCGCAAUGGUAGCGUAUGAGACUUCUAAUCUCAGGGUUGUGGGUUCGAGUCCCACCUUGGGUG
The sequence is a transfer RNA, 72 nucleotides long. It matches the Rfam family "tRNA". From Rfam's summary of the family: Transfer RNA (tRNA) molecules are approximately 80 nucleotides in length. The record is from Rfam.